This 301-nucleotide ribosomal RNA is filed under the name uncultured bacterium. RNAcentral describes it as "partial 16S ribosomal RNA". It matches the Rfam family "Bacterial small subunit ribosomal RNA", at positions 509 to 809 of the family's 1533-position model. The record is from RNAcentral.
CAGCAGCCGCGGUAAUACAGAGGAUGCAAGCGUUAUCCGAAAUGAUUGGGCGUAAAGCGUCUGUAGGUGGCUUUUCAAGUCCGCCGUCAAAUCCCAGGGCUCAACCCUGGACAGGCGGUGGAAACUACCAAGCUAGAGUACGGUAGGGGCAGAGGGAAUUUCCGGUGGAGCGGUGAAACGCGUUGAGAUCGGAAAGAACACCAACGGCGAAAGCACUCUGCUGGGCCGACACUGACACUGAGAGACGAAAGCUAGGGGAGCAAAUGGGAUUAGAUACCCCUGUAGUCCCUGUCUCUUAUAA